AGGCGGUUAACUCAGCGGUAGAGUGUCACCUUCACACGGUGGAAGUCAUUGGUUCGAUUCCAAUACCGCCUACCA
RNAcentral lists this transfer RNA (75 nucleotides) under Nitrosomonas sp. RNAcentral describes it as "tRNA-Val". It matches the Rfam family "tRNA". Rfam says of the family: Transfer RNA (tRNA) molecules are approximately 80 nucleotides in length. Their secondary structure includes four short double-helical elements and three loops (D, anti-codon, and T loops). Lineage: Bacteria; Pseudomonadati; Pseudomonadota; Betaproteobacteria; Nitrosomonadales; Nitrosomonadaceae. RNAcentral also lists the same sequence under 1 other name. The record is from RNAcentral.